AUUGAACGCUGGCGGCAGGCCUAACACAUGCAGGUCGAGCGGAUGAAGGGAGCUUGCUCCUGGAUUCAGCGGCGGACGGGUGAGUAAUGCCUAGGAAUCUGCCUGGUUGUGGGGGAUAACGUCCGGAAACGGGCGCUAAUACCGCAUACGUCCUGAGGGAGAAAGUGGGGGAUCUUCGGACCUCACGCUAUCAGAUGAGCCUAGGUCGGAUUAGCUAGUUGGUGGGGUAAAGGCCUACCAAGGCGACGAUCCGUAACUGGUCUGAGAGGAUGAUCAGUCACACUGGAACUGAGACACGGUCCAGACUCCUACGGGAGGCAGCAGUGGGGAAUAUUGGACAAUGGGCGAAAGCCUGAUCCAGCCAUGCCGCGUGUGUGAAGAAGGUCUUCGGAUUGUAAAGCACUUUAAGUUGGGAGGAAGGGCAGUAAGUUAAUACCUUGCUGUUUUGACGUUACCAACAGAAUAAGCACCGGCUAACUUCGUG
Molecule: ribosomal RNA, 484 nt
Filed under: uncultured bacterium
Lineage: Bacteria
Description: partial 16S ribosomal RNA
Rfam family: Bacterial small subunit ribosomal RNA
Source: RNAcentral